GCUGGGAUAGCUCAGUUGGUAGAGCAUAGGACUCUUAAAUCUUAGGGUUGUGGGUUCAAGCCCCACGUUGGGCA
This 74-nucleotide transfer RNA is filed under the name Podarcis lilfordi (Lilford's wall lizard). It matches the Rfam family "tRNA". Rfam says of the family: Transfer RNA (tRNA) molecules are approximately 80 nucleotides in length. Lineage: Eukaryota; Metazoa; Chordata; Lepidosauria; Squamata; Lacertidae. The record is from Rfam by way of RNAcentral.